RNAcentral lists this ribosomal RNA (468 nucleotides) under uncultured rhizosphere oomycete. RNAcentral's name for it is "eukaryotic LSU rRNA". The stretch from base 1 to 83 matches the Rfam family "Bacterial large subunit ribosomal RNA", at positions 476 to 559 of the family's 2925-position model. The record is from RNAcentral. Lineage: Eukaryota; Oomycota.
GUGCGAGACCGAUAGCGAACAAGUACCGUGAGGGAAAGAUGAAAAGAACUUUGAAAAGAGAGUUAAAGAGUACCUGAAACUGCUGAAAGGGAAUCGAAUCGUUUCCAGUGUCUAUAAUCUGUGGCAUAUUUCAUUGGCGGCAGUGUGCGUGCUUUUGCGUCGGAAGCGGCUUUUGUUGCUCUGUGCUUUUGCUGUGCGCGCUGUUGCUGUUGCCCUGUGUUGCGGUGGGACGUCAGAGUCAGUUCGUAUGCUGCGGGAAAUGGCUGCCGAGGAGGUAGGUCAGGAUUUCGGUCUUGGCUGUUAUAUCUUGGUGGUUUGUUGUCGUGGUUGGGACUGAGGUGCCUACAAUGUGCUUUUGAGUGUUCCGGGUUCUCAUUUGGUGGACUGUUUGGAUAGCUUGCUAUGCUUGUGGUUUUUUCAUCGAGUGAUUGAGUCUGGUGGUAACUUGUUGCUGUUCGGGACUUUGAA